CUUUAUGGUUUGCACACUCUACCAGUGUCCAGUGAGGCCUGAGAAAGGUUCAUACACCUUGAACAUGCUUUACUACCUCCAGAGGCAGUGACAAGCCAUCCUGGUACAGGGGGGUAGCAGAGGUUGCUGCCAGAGAGACCCAUGCUCUUGCCAGCAGCUGCAGAUGGAUUAGCCUCUGUGAUGUGUUCCCCUCAUGCAUCCCUACAGUUCUUGUAAGGAAACCAUGGUGAGGUCACUACAAGUCUGGAGAAGGAAACGCAGGAAACUGACUAAAGAAGCUGGAGGGAGAGAGGCUGAGAGCCAUUCCUGGCCUUUUGUGUGCUAGCCAGCCUGCUGCUUUGCUGCCAGAGCCUUCACUGCAGCAGCUAAAAGAGAGACAAUCGUCUGUCUAGAGAGGUUACAGCACAGCACACAUUUCAACCAGCUUUACAGGCAUCCACAAAGAGAAACAAGGAAUAAAAUGUAUGCAUUGGCAAGGCAAGCUGGCAUACACUGUCCUCCUCAGGGAUGUGACGACUUCUCAGCAAACCCUGUGGGAUUUUGUUCUCAGCAAUCCCUGCGGGAUUUACCGACAUUGUUCCCUCUGAUAUACUCCCACCCAUGCAAUGUAGUGUCCCAUCCUGCACAAGGUAAGCCACCACACUACUAUGGGCUAUGCCACAUCCUGCACAGGAUGAAUCACUGUACAGUACUGUGCAAGAUGGGGGUGCCUAUGUGCAUCUCCUGCAAGGAGUUGUUGUAUCCAACGCACCACCUACCACAAGAAUGUGACAUUUUUCUUUUGUGCAAGGCAUGCUGUGAGGCAGUUGAGAUGUCUUACAAUCUUUUCUCUCUGAGGAUCCCUUGAAGGAGGAAAUCUUGAAGCCAGAAGGGGAUUUUUUUUGGGGGGGAGCUAUCCUUCUUGAAGAGAGCAACAUGCAAAUUCCCAGUCUUGACUUCAAUUUUAUUCUCUCAACUCCCCUGUGAGGCAGGUUAGGUUAAGAGACAGUAAUUCAAUGAGAUUUUGUAGCUGCUGGGUCAUAAAAAAAACCUGGUUUCCUGAGAGUGUGUGGUAGGACCGUGGGGAACAACCCAUAAUGGAACCAAAACCACAGUGAGAUCAGCAUUAGUCCAUGCCUGAAGUAGGAGAACCAAAUUGUCAAAGGAGUGGAUACACCCCAAGUGUAAUGGCAGGCAGCUGCUUCUGCCAGGUUGACAGAAGACUCAGAACAGAUUAUUGUGAUUUCUGGUUAGCUCCAGUGGUCAUUAACAUUUUUAAAGGAAGUUAUUUGUGUCAAGCUCUUGUUUCAAGUUUAGAGACAGACAGACACAGACACUCUGCUUUGACAGCAAAGGGCUCUAACAACAUAGUGCUGUUUAAUGCAAAGAGCCUCCCUCUCAUACAUGGCUUACAGACUUGAACCACUUUGUGAGUGAUUCCCAGAGUUGAACUUAGGCAGGGCUGAGCUCCAGGGUUUAGCAGUUAAGCUAUUAGCAGAAUUCACUUGGACAGCAGAGAGUCAAAGAGGUUUGGUAUGCCUCCAUGGGUGGAAUAAUUUGUUAGGAAGAUCCCUGAUCACAUCUCCUGCUCUUAAAGUUAAGUUAAGGAGGAUCCAUGGACAGAAAUCAAAUGGACAUAAAUGAAAAAGGCAUUAAUAAAUUACUUGACAUAGUAUGGGAAGAAGUUAAA
This is a long non-coding RNA of Pogona vitticeps (central bearded dragon), 1669 nucleotides long. The record is from Ensembl. Lineage: Eukaryota; Metazoa; Chordata; Lepidosauria; Squamata; Agamidae.